This 253-nucleotide ribosomal RNA is filed under the name uncultured bacterium. RNAcentral's name for it is "partial 16S ribosomal RNA". It matches the Rfam family "Bacterial small subunit ribosomal RNA", at positions 524 to 776 of the family's 1533-position model. The record is from RNAcentral.
UACGAAGGGGGCUAGCGUUGUUCGGAUUUACUGGGCGUAAAGCGCACGUAGGCGGAUUGUUAAGUCAGGGGUGAAAUCCUGGAGCUCAACUCCAGAACUGCCUUCGAUACUGAGAGUCUUGAGUCCGGGAGAGGUGAGUGGAACUGCGAGUGUAGAGGUGAAAUUCGUAGAUAUUCGCAAGAACACCAGUGGCGAAGGCGGCUCACUGGCCCGGUACUGACGCUGAGGUGCGAAAGCGUGGGGAGCAAACAGG